This 622-nucleotide ribosomal RNA is filed under the name uncultured Cortinarius. RNAcentral describes it as "eukaryotic LSU rRNA". The stretch from base 244 to 397 matches the Rfam family "5.8S ribosomal RNA". The record is from RNAcentral. Lineage: Eukaryota; Fungi; Basidiomycota; Agaricomycetes; Agaricales; Cortinariaceae.
GAUCAUUAUUGAAAUAAACCUGAUGAGUUGCUGCUGGCUCUCUAGGGAGUAUGUGCACACUUGUCAUCUUUAUAUCUCCACCUGUGCACUUUUGUAGACCUGGAAUAUCUCUCUGAUGCUUGGCACUCAGGUUUGAGGAUUGACUUUUUGUCUUUCCUUAUAUUUCCAGGCCUAUGUUUCUACAUAUACCCAAUGUAUGUUAUAGAAUGUAAUAAAUGGCCUUUGUGCCUAUAAACCUUAUACAACUUUCAGCAACGGAUCUCUUGGCUCUCGCAUCGAUGAAGAACGCAGCGAAAUGCGAUAAGUAAUGUGAAUUGCAGAAUUCAGUGAAUCAUCGAAUCUUUGAACGCACCUUGCGCUCCUUGGUAUUCCGAGGAGCAUGCCUGUUUGAGUGUCAUUAAUAUAUCAACCUCUUUAACUUUUGGUUAUCGAGUGUUGGAUGUGGGGGUCUUUUUUUUGCUGGCCUCUCUGAGGUCAGCUCCCCUGAAAUACAUUAGUGGAACAAUUUGUGGACCGUUCAUUGGUGUGAUAACUAUCUACGCUAUUGACGUGAAGCAGUUCAGCUUAUAACUGUCCAUUGACUUGGACAAAUUUUCAUUAAUGUGACCUCAAAUCAGGUAGG